GGCGUAGCAAUACGUCAGCGGCAGACGGGUGAGUAACGCGUGGGAACAUACCUUUUGGUUCGGAACAACACAGGGAAACUUGUGCUAAUACCGGAUAAGCCCUUACGGGGAAAGAUUUAUCGCCGAAAGAUUGGCCCGCGUCUGAUUAGCUAGUUGGUGAGGUAACGGCUCACCAAGGCGACGAUCAGUAGCUGGUCUGAGAGGAUGAUCAGCCACAUUGGGACUGAGACACGGCCCAAACUCCUACGGGAGGCAGCAGUGGGGAAUAUUGGACAAUGGGCGCAAGCCUGAUCCAGCCAUGCCGCGUGAGUGAUGAAGGCCCUAGGGUUGUAAAGCUCUUUUGUGCGGGAAGAUAAUGACGGUACCGCAAGAAUAAGCCCCGGCUAACUUCGUGCCAGCAGCCGCGGUAAUACGAAGGGGGCUAGCGUUGCUCGGAAUCACUGGGCGUAAAGGGUGCGUAGGCGGGUCUUUAAGUCAGGGGUGAAAUCCUGGAGCUCAACUCCAGAACUGCCUUUGAUACUGAAGAUCUUGAGUUCGGGAGAGGUGAGUGGAACUGCGAGUGUAGAGGUGAAAUUCGUAGAUAUUCGCAAGAACACCAGUGGCGAAGGCGGCUCACUGGCCCGAUACUGACGCUGAGC
This 638-nucleotide ribosomal RNA is filed under the name Bradyrhizobium sp. RNAcentral's name for it is "bacterial SSU rRNA". It matches the Rfam family "Bacterial small subunit ribosomal RNA", at positions 69 to 752 of the family's 1533-position model. Lineage: Bacteria; Pseudomonadati; Pseudomonadota; Alphaproteobacteria; Hyphomicrobiales; Nitrobacteraceae. The record is from RNAcentral.